AAAGAUUGAUUGAUUGAUUGACUGUACUACAACGUUUAAACUGUCUCCUCCUGCAGCAGCUGAGUUAUUUGAGCUGAUGAUGCUUCUGCCUGAGUAUGACUUCCUGAAUGCUUGACUUGUAUCUCCACGUUGUUUUUAAAAGCUUGAACUUCUGCAUGAGUGUUUUCGUACCUGAGAAGUCGAGCAGUGCGUUGGCUCCGUCCUCGCCGCCUCGCCCCGUCUCCAUCAGGGUGCUGAACAGGGUCCCAAUGGGGUCCAGAGGGUGACCCACCCAGCCCUCCAGGUUCGUAAUGGAUGUUAUUCCUUUGUGGAGCAGCUCUGCGGUGAAACAGACACAAACACAGCUACUUGUAGAUAAUAACGUCUCCAAGAAGCUGACAAGCUAGUCGAUGAAGUUGCUGAAAACAUCCAAACAUAGACGGCUUUUUCUCAAGAGAACUUUAAAUGAAUCAUUUAAACGCUGAAGAAGCAGAAACUGACCUUUCUUGUGAGCUCUGAAGAACUCCAUCUGUUUCUGCUGCUGCCUCCUCAGAGUGUUGAUGAUGGCGAUGGCAAGCCUGAGUGCUUCCUUUGGUUUAAAAAUGCACGCUUCCUGCGCCCUCACCGUGCCACAGAGGCCACCCUCGGGCGUCAAACAGCGAGCUGUCCAGGUGGUCGUGGUAGCAGUAGUUGGUGUAUUGGUCCCUGGUGAUGAUGUGCUGGAGGUGCGGGUCCUGCCAGUGAAGGUCGCACGCCUCGAUCGCCCGUGUGAAGACCGUCCGGUGAGGCCGGGUCACUGAAUCUGAGACAAACACAGAGGGGAUUAAAACCUCAGAUGGAAGAAAGGUAAAGAGACAGGUGCAUGCUGGGAUUUAUUCAGAAAGAAGGGCUGGAAAUACUAAGAGUUUGAAGAGUGAAGGAAACAUUAAAUUCAGCCGUUCUUCAUGGCA
Long non-coding RNA from Notolabrus celidotus (New Zealand spotty), 929 nucleotides. RefSeq lists it as uncharacterized. The transcript has 4 exons. The record is from RefSeq and is a predicted model, not a curated record. NCBI's taxonomy places the organism in Eukaryota, Metazoa, Chordata, Actinopteri, Labriformes, Labridae.